CCUACGGGAGGCAGCAGUGGGGAAUAUUGCACAAUGGGGGAAACCCUGAUGCAGCGACGCCGCGUGAGUGAGGAAGUAUUUCGGUAUGUAAAGCUCUAUCAGCAGGGAAGAAAAUGACGGUACCUGACUAAGAAGCCCCGGCUAACUACGUGCCAGCAGCCGCGGUAAUACGUAGGGGGCAAGCGUUAUCCGGAUUUACUGGGUGUAAAGGGAGCGUAGACGGUUAAUGAAGUCAGAAGUGAAAACGCAGGGCUCAACCUUGGGACUGCUUUUGAAACUGAGUAGCUAGAGUGCAGGAGAGGUAAGCGGAAUUCCUAGUGUAGCGGUGAAAUGCGUAGAUAUUAGGAGGAACACCAGUGGCGAAGGCGGCUUACUGGACUGUAACUGACGUUGAGGCUCGAAAGCGUGGGGAGCAAACAGGAUUAGAUACCCCUGUAGUC
RNAcentral lists this ribosomal RNA (440 nucleotides) under uncultured bacterium. RNAcentral's name for it is "partial 16S ribosomal RNA". It matches the Rfam family "Bacterial small subunit ribosomal RNA", at positions 338 to 795 of the family's 1533-position model. The record is from RNAcentral.